Long non-coding RNA from Acyrthosiphon pisum (pea aphid), 601 nucleotides. RefSeq lists it as uncharacterized. The transcript has 3 exons. NCBI's taxonomy places the organism in Eukaryota, Metazoa, Arthropoda, Insecta, Hemiptera, Aphididae. The record is from RefSeq and is a predicted model, not a curated record.
AGUCGAUACUCGAUCUACAUCAUCUACAUAUUCUAAUGUCUAUAAACUAUAAACAUAUGAACCGACCAGUUUACUGUGAAAUGUAAUAAUUUAUUAAAGACAUUUUAAUAAUUAAUAUAUUGAAUAACGUGAACAUUUGAAAACAUUAAAAUAUAAAAUAAUAAAAUAUGCCAUAAGUACUGAUACAGUUGUUCCUUAUUAGGUAUAUAAUUUUAAAUAGGUACGUAUUUUCACCACCCAUCAUGGUGUUUUAAGUUUUACAAAACUUCGCAACUUUUUUUUUAUUUCUGUUUUCCGUUUUUUUAUUUUUAUUUUCCUGGUAUGUGAAUUGCCUCAUUCUCAUUCUCACGUAAUAAAUAACAGCAAAUGAAAUAAUAUUUUCUCCAUGAGUGACACAAGGGAAAUUUGUUAUGUGCUUUUCAUUGAUCAUAUCAUCAAUUAUUAGAUCAAAAACUGUCGCAGACAAUUGCUGAGAAUAAACCUGUGGAGUGGCAAAAGCUGACUUACAAAUUGUACAAUCAUUUAUGUACUUCAACAGUUGUUUUGAUAGAUAUAAUUGGUUUUAAUGGAGAAUCAUCGUGUACAGUACAAUUUCCACUCU